Molecule: ribosomal RNA, 243 nt
Filed under: uncultured bacterium
Lineage: Bacteria
Description: partial small subunit ribosomal RNA
Rfam family: Bacterial small subunit ribosomal RNA
Source: RNAcentral
AGGACGAACGCUGGCGGCGUGCUUAACACAUGCAAGUCGAACGGAAAGGCCCUUUCGGGGGUACUCGAGUGGCGAACGGGUGAGUAACACGUGGGUGAUCUGCCCUGCACUUUGGGAUAAGCCUGGGAAACUGGGUCUAAUACCGCAUGUGAUCUUCGGAUUAAAGCUUCGGCGCUUUGGGAACGGCCUGCGCAUGAUUAGCUUGUUGGUGGGGUAAUGGCCUACCAAGGCGACGACGGGUAG